AAGAGAACACAAAAUCAAAAGCAAAUAUCCAUUACACCUCCAAUCUUUAGAUCAAGAUCACCUCCUCACCCUCCAUUAGUUAUUCCUCUAGAGCAAGGGAGAUUCUUUUUAUGACAAGAAUUGUCGAGUAGAGUAACUCCUAUUGGCAUCCAGAUUCCUACUAGUGAUCUUUUAUAUCUUAGGAGAAAUCUUCAAGGAACGCACAUCGUAGGAGAAGAGAUAAUGGAUGCAUCACACCUUGGUCUUAGAGAUUCUGCUGAAGAAAUAAGAAGAAAAGAUAACGAAGACAGAAUCAGAGCUAAUCGCAAAAG
RNAcentral lists this long non-coding RNA (311 nucleotides) under Panax ginseng (ginseng). RNAcentral describes it as "long non-coding RNA (PGIN_LNC005132)". Lineage: Eukaryota; Viridiplantae; Streptophyta; Magnoliopsida; Apiales; Araliaceae. The record is from RNAcentral.